AUACUUACCUGGCAGGGGAUACUUACCAUGGUCACAAAGGUGGUUUUCCCAGGGCGAGGCUUAUCUAUUGCACUCUGGAUGUGCUGACCCCUGCGAUUUCCCCAAAUGUGGGAAACUCAACUGCAUAAUUUGUGGUAGUGGGGGACUGUGUUCGCACUCUCACCUA
RNAcentral lists this small nuclear RNA (166 nucleotides) under Erinaceus europaeus (western European hedgehog). Its description in RNAcentral is "U1 spliceosomal RNA". It matches the Rfam family "U1 spliceosomal RNA". From Rfam's summary of the family: U1 is a small nuclear RNA (snRNA) component of the spliceosome (involved in pre-mRNA splicing). Its 5' end forms complementary base pairs with the 5' splice junction, thus defining the 5' donor site of an intron. The record is from Rfam by way of RNAcentral. Lineage: Eukaryota; Metazoa; Chordata; Mammalia; Eulipotyphla; Erinaceidae.